RNAcentral lists this ribosomal RNA (312 nucleotides) under Clostridioides difficile. RNAcentral describes it as "bacterial SSU rRNA". It matches the Rfam family "Bacterial small subunit ribosomal RNA", at positions 525 to 841 of the family's 1533-position model. The record is from RNAcentral. Lineage: Bacteria; Bacillati; Bacillota; Clostridia; Peptostreptococcales; Peptostreptococcaceae.
ACGUAGGGGGCUAGCGUUAUCCGGAUUUACUGGGCGUAAAGGGUGCGUAGGCGGUCUUUCAAGUCAGGAGUGAAAGGCUACGGCUCAACCGUAGUAAGCUCUUGAAACUGGGAGACUUGAGUGCAGGGGAGGAGAGUGGAAUUCCUAGUGUAGCGGUGAAAUGCGUAGAUAUUAGGAGGAACACCAGUUGCGAAGGCGGCUCUCUGGACUGUAACUGACGCUGAGGCACGAAAGCGUGGGGAGCAAACAGGAUUAGAUACCCUGGUAGUCCACGCUGUAAACGAUGAGUACUAGGUGUCGGGGGUUACCCCC